Molecule: ribosomal RNA, 253 nt
Filed under: uncultured bacterium
Lineage: Bacteria
Description: partial 16S ribosomal RNA
Rfam family: Bacterial small subunit ribosomal RNA
Source: RNAcentral
UACGGAGGGUGCAAGCGUUGUUCGGAAUUACUGGGCGUAAAGCGCGUGUAGGCGGCUACCUAAGUCUGAUGUGAAAGCCCGAGGCUUACCCUCGGAAGCGCAUUGGAAACUGAGUAGCUAGAGUAUCGGAGAGGAGGGUGGAAUUCCUGGUGUAGCGGUGAAAUGCGUAGAUAUCAGGAAGAACACCGGUGGCGAAGGCGGCCCUCUGGACGAAUACUGACGCUGAGACGCGAAAGCGUGGGGAGCAAACAGG